CCCGCUGAACUUAAGCAUAUCAAUAAGCGGAGGAAAAGAAACCAACAGGGAUUGCCUCAGUAACGGCGAGUGAAGCGGCAACAGCUCAAAUUUGAAAUCUGGCCUCUUUGGGGUCCGAGUUGUAAUUUGUAGAGGAUGUUUCGGGUACCGCCUCGGUUUAAAUUUCUUGGAACAGAAUGUCAAAGAGGGUGAGAGUCCCGUCUUGGACCGGCGGUAGGGCCCGUGUGAAACUCCUUCGACGAGUCGAGUUGUUUGGGAAUGCAGCUCAAAAUGGGUGGUAAAUUUCAUCUAAAGCUAAAUAUUGGCCAGAGACCGAUAGCGCACAAGUAGAGUGAUCGAAAGAUGAAAAGCACUUUGAAAAGAGAGUUAAACAGUAUGUGAAAUUGUUGAAAGGGAAGCGCUUACAACCAGACUUGAGCGCGGCGGUUCCCCCUUCCUUUUGGUUGGGUUACUCCGUCGUGUCCAGGCCAACAUCGGUUCUGGGGGUCGGUCAAAGACCCUGGGAAUGUACCUACCCUCCGGGCGUAGACUUAUAGCCCAGGGUGUCAUGCGGCCUCCCGGGACCGAGGAACGCGCUUCGGCUCGGAUGUUGGCGUAAUGGUUGUCAGCGACCCGUCUUGAAACACGG
RNAcentral lists this ribosomal RNA (628 nucleotides) under uncultured fungus. RNAcentral describes it as "eukaryotic LSU rRNA". It matches the Rfam family "Eukaryotic large subunit ribosomal RNA", at positions 24 to 664 of the family's 3401-position model. The record is from RNAcentral. Lineage: Eukaryota; Fungi.